CGCUGGCAUCGCUGAAGGGAUUUCCGUCAACAACAGAUCAAUUUGAUCAAAACAUCAAUGACAGGAAACUGGUUUUUCGUGAUCUUUUAAGCUCGUUGUGUGUGAAAUAUAUCUAGCUAAAGCUGAUUUCAGUAUUCACAUCUGUUCAAACGAGUCUGACACUGCAGGAUGAACGCUCAGGGGGUGCGCAGGGGCUUCAGCGUCCAGCAGUCUGACCUGAUGUGUAAGAGAGGAUGCGGUUUCUACGGCAACGCCGUCUGGCAGGGCCUCUGCUCCAAAUGCUGGCGUCAGGAGAACCAGUGCACCUGAGCCAAGCAGAUCGAGGCCGACAGAGCGCUGGCCGAGAGGCUCCAGAGAGAGGAGGAAGCAGCGUCUGCCAGCAGCCGUGAGGAGGCGCGUUCACGACCAGAAUCCUCCAGAACACACAGCGUGCCCAUAGUGAAGAGGCUUUUCACCUCCGCUCCCAAAACACCUGCAA
Long non-coding RNA from Sinocyclocheilus anshuiensis, 478 nucleotides. RefSeq lists it as uncharacterized. NCBI's taxonomy places the organism in Eukaryota, Metazoa, Chordata, Actinopteri, Cypriniformes, Cyprinidae. The transcript is spliced from 3 exons. The record is from RefSeq and is a predicted model, not a curated record.